This 918-nucleotide ribosomal RNA is filed under the name uncultured Methanosarcina sp. Its description in RNAcentral is "bacterial SSU rRNA". It matches the Rfam family "Archaeal small subunit ribosomal RNA", at positions 1 to 922 of the family's 1478-position model. The record is from RNAcentral. Lineage: Archaea; Methanobacteriati; Methanobacteriota; Methanomicrobia; Methanosarcinales; Methanosarcinaceae.
UUCCGGUUGAUCCUGCCGGAGGUUACUGCUAUCGGUGUUCGCCUAAGCCAUGCGAGUCAUAUGUAGCAAUACAUGGCGUACUGCUCAGUAACACGUGGAUAACCUGCCCUUGGGACCGGCAUAACCCCGGGAAACUGGGGAUAAUUCCGGAUAACGCAUAUUUGCUGGAAUGCUUUAUGCGUCAAAAGGAUUCGUCUGCCCAAGGAUGGGUCUGCGGCCUAUCAGGUAGUAGUGGGUGUAAUGUACCUACUAGCCAGCGACGGGUACGGGUUGUGAGAGCAAGAGCCCGGAGAUGGAUUCUGAGACAUGAAUCCAGGCCCUACGGGGCGCAGCAGGCGCGAAAACUUUACAAUGCGGGAAACCGUGAUAAGGGGACACCGAGUGCCAGCACCAUAUGCUGGCUGUCCGGAUGUGUAAAAUACAUCCGUUAGCAAGGGCCGGGCAAGACCGGUGCCAGCCGCCGCGGUAACACCGGCGGCCCGAGUGGUGAUCGUGAUUAUUGGGUCUAAAGGGUCCGUAGCCGGUUUGGUCAGUCCUCCGGGAAAUCUGAUAGCUCAACUAUUAGGCUUUCGGGGGAUACUGCCAGACUUGGAACCGGGAGAGGUAAGAGGUACUACAGGGGUAGGAGUGAAAUCUUGUAAUCCCUGUGGGACCACCUGUGGCGAAGGCGUCUUACCAGAACGGGUUCGACGGUGAGGGACGAAAGCUGGGGGCACGAACCGGAUUAGAUACCCGGGUAGUCCCAGCCGUAAACGAUGCUCGCUAGGUGUCAGACAUGGCGCGACCGUGUCUGGUGCCGCAGGGAAGCCGUGAAGCGAGCCACCUGGGAAGUACGGCCGCAAGGCUGAAACUUAAAGGAAUUGGCGGGGGAGCACAACAACGGGUGGAGCCUGCGGUUUAAUUGGAUUCAACGCCGGA